Molecule: long non-coding RNA, 698 nt
Filed under: Anser brachyrhynchus (Pink-footed goose)
Lineage: Eukaryota; Metazoa; Chordata; Aves; Anseriformes; Anatidae
Description: lncRNA (ENSABRG00000019757.1)
Source: RNAcentral
CAAAGGUGCCAGAAAGGGGUUGGUAGAUGUUCAGUGCUUUUACCUGUUUCCAACAGACUGCUGCCCCAGUCCUUUCAAACAUAUCACUAGAAAUGUUUUAGUGUGUUUUUUGCUUUGUUGUAUUUUUUAAAAACCAAUAAAAGCCCCAUAUUGCAUGCAUUGCUUCCAAGGAUGUGUCUGCCAUUUUCUGGAACUGCAGCAGAACUUGAGUUAUAAAAAGCAGCACAAAAAUGAAGCUAGGGAAAGGAAGUUCCUUAAAAAACAAUUUCAUAUAUACUAUAUAUUUUUUUCUUAAGUCUUUAAACCUCAAUCAAUCUACUUUCUUCUUUAAAAUAGGCAGAGUUUUGAUAUUGUGAGCAUGUAACAGAAGUGGAGUCUUGUGAGAAUGCUUUUGCCAACGAAUGCCAUAUAGUGAAGAAGCGAAACGACUGUUGGGAAGGAGCUGGGUUUAAAAUGCUGGCUUUAGGACAAUCGCUUUGCUGUUUGAAGAGAACAGAAGGCAGCACAGAGACAAGCCUUCCGUGUUGAGGAGAAUGACAGGACGGGCAGGAACACAAGGCUGGGCAAGGUUGCUGAAACAAAGCCACCGAGAUGUAUCGGUCUUGAGGAAAGCUGGAGCAGAACUCAGCCUUUGCAGCAGUGCCACCAGCCCCUCGAGGACGGCGCCCAUCUGCGGGCUGCGUGUGUGCGGCUGCUGA